Molecule: ribosomal RNA, 260 nt
Filed under: uncultured bacterium
Lineage: Bacteria
Description: partial 16S ribosomal RNA
Rfam family: Bacterial small subunit ribosomal RNA
Source: RNAcentral
UACGGGGGGAGCAAGCGUUGUUCGGAUUUACUGGGCGUAAAGGGCGCGUAGGCGGUCGUGACAAGUCACUUGUGAAAUCUCCGGGCUUAACUCGGAACGGUCAAGUGAUACUGUGCGGCUAGAGUGCGGAAGGGGGCAACUGGAAUUCUUGGUGUAGCGGUGAAAUGCGUAGAUAUCAAGAGGAACACCUGCGGCGAAGGCGGGUUGCUGGGCCGACACGUGACGCUGAGGCGCGAAAGCCCAGGGGAGGCGAAACGGGA